RNAcentral lists this long non-coding RNA (3372 nucleotides) under Capsicum annuum. RNAcentral describes it as "long non-coding RNA (CANN_LNC002603)". Lineage: Eukaryota; Viridiplantae; Streptophyta; Magnoliopsida; Solanales; Solanaceae. The record is from RNAcentral.
AAGUUAGAUUAACAUCUAUUUCUUGAUCUUAUUGCGGAUUUAAGGUGAGAUUUCAUCCGUUUUAUACUCUAAUUCUUGAUUAAUUGUUCAAAAAUCACAAAAACCUUAUUUGUUGAUUUAAGCUUCAAUUUCACUUCUUUUCACUUGAAUAAUGUUUCUAAGCCUAUAAUUACAUGUUUUUCAUCAAUCUCAUCUUCAAACAACUUCGAUUUUUUAUUUUAACACGUAUUUCAAAGAUUUUACCCGAUAAAGCUCAAAAAUGAUUUUUCUUCUAUUUGAACCUAGUUUUGACUUGGGUUUUCAGUUGUAAGAAUAUGAAAAAAAUAUUUUUGAAAUAAAUUUUUAAUUUUUUCCAUGUUUUUCAAAAUUCUAUUUUGGGGGUUCAUUUUGCCCCCAAACCAAAAGUAGAUAAUAUGGGUAUCGUUGGCUUUAUUUUAAAGCGUAGAUUUUAUAUUUCUUGGUUUUAGUUGAUUUUAAGAUUGUUCAUAAAAAGUAAGGUCGUGGAUUCAAAGUGUAGCAGACUGAUUUCUUCAUUUGAGGUAGGUUAUGGCUUAACUCUUUAGACUAGGCUGGGUAGUUAAUUUAUAUAUCAAAAUGUAUGUAAAGGUAGGAACUAACAUGAAAAAUAGUUAUCUAUAUGCCGUGCCCGUGUAGGGGUCUGUGUGGGGUCUUAUGUGAUGUUGAUAGCCUUGAAUAUGCGUGAAUAAUCAUAUUGUGUUAUUAAGAAAAAAGCCUAUUAUGGUACCUUUGAUGUAUUGUGAUAUAUUCACACUUUGUGGGCAUAUGAAUCAUGUGGAAAUUCAUGGAUGUUGAAAAUAAUGAGUGGAUAUUGGCUCAUGUAGAUGUCAAAAUAUAACAUUGUGGUUGGUUAUGAAAAUACAUCAUGUGGAAUGAUUGUGGAAAUACUCUUUGUGAUUGGUUGUGAACACUGCAUCAUCAUCCUCAUGUCAUUCUGUACCUUAUUUCACCUUUUUAUUGUAUGUUUUGUAUAUACUUAUUGAUGUUGUUUGUCAUACUGAAUUUGUGUUUUAUGUGCACCAAAAAUACUAAAAACACUGAAAAUACUAAAAAUUUUGGAAACAUUGGAAGUAUUAAAUUUUAUAAACCCUCCCCAAGGGAUGUGCCAGGGAGAAAAUAUUGAUAUAUGAAUUGUAUAUGAGUUGACGCACCCCCCAUAAGUCCCACGUCGAAAGGCUUGCUUCCAUGGGUAUAUAUGGGGAUUGGGUGAUGAUCCUGGAGGUUGUGCGAUGACCCCAUGCGUCAUCAUCACCACCACCAUCAUCAUAAUCAUCAUAUAUAUUGUACUUGCAUUAUUGUGUUUAUGUUGUGCUUGUAUUACCAUAUUGACUUGUCAUCUAUCUAUUUGUCCUAUAUCUUGACUUGUAAAUGUCCAAUUGUUCCAUCUUUCUUUAUUUGUAUUUGAUGGUCUUGAUUAUACAUGUUCCUCUUUUGUUUUACUUGUAUGUGUUAUGGUAUAUAUUUGUAUCCCUAUUUGGUAUGUUAUUGUUGAUACGUGAAUAUUAUAAAACUAUUAGUGCAAGCGGGGUGGGCUACCAUUAUGGGAUAUUUUUUUAUUGCAGUUGACAUGUCCUUAAUAUGUAUUUUGUAUGCUUUAUUUUCUACUUUGCUCUAUCGGCCUAUGAUACCAACUAAGUACAAGUGGGUCACACUCACGCCUACUGCGCCUUUUAGGUGCAGGUCCAAAUUCGAGUGCGCUCCAGCUUAGUUGAUUCAGGCAAAAAUUGGUGUUUUCAAGGUAGUGGUUGACCCUUCAGGCGUCUGAAUGUAUUCUACUACCUUUCUUAUAGACUAUGUCUUUAAUUUCACUUCGAAGACAGAGUUUUAUUUCGUAUCUGAACACCUUAUCUAUUUCAUUUGGAUUCGAGUUGUACUAGAUGUGUUCUUAUACUGUUGACACUAGGUUUUGAGAGUUAUGGUUGUAUGUGUUGAUUUUAUUCCUUUCUCUUUUAUCAUAUCUAUGUGGUUUGGCUUUGUUCUAGAAUCCUUACCUUGGGAGUAUUUAUGUCUUUUCCCCUUGUGUAGCAAUUUGGGUGAUAGGAUUACUUGACAAGGUUCGCUGCGACAAACGACAUCAAGACCCUUAUAUUUUGGGUCAUGAAAAAUUGCUAUCAGAGCAGUCAGAUUUUAUUAGUUUCAAUGGUGUAAGAAUAGAAUAUCUAAUAGAGUGUGGCGGAUUGGUAUGUAGACGAUUCGUAUCUAUCUUCGAGAAACUAUAGGAUGAUUUUAGAAAACUUUCCUCAUUUUAUUCCUUAUUAUGCCAACUUUUUUCAUACCUUGUAUUCUGAGUUAUGUUUCACUUUUUUCUAUGCAGAUGGUGUUGACUAGGUCUAGCAGAAUCAGAGAUGCAGAGCCUUUACCUAGAGGGCAAGCCUCGAGUUGGGAGGGAGUGGACUGUCCCAUGGUUCAACCCCGUCCAGGAGUAGAGCUAGGGGAUACUCCUUUGAGCCUCAUGUUGAGCAUGUUGGAGGUAUGGAUCUUACUUUGGUUCCUCAAAGUUCUUCUACCUUAGUCUUGGAGGGAUUUUUGAUUCGUGUGUUGACCCAUUUAGAGGGUGCUCCUUUGAGCGUUUGGUAUUUCCCCAUCUCCGAGUAUGGUACCUCUAUCUAUGCUAGAGUCUGGUGAUGGUGUUCCUCCAGUUUCACCUGCUUCUAUUUUGGGUACUUCUCAGACCCCAAGUACUAUUCCUCCUUCAGCACCGACACUUGAGUGUGGUGUUUUGAGAUCAGAAGUUUAGCCUUCCUUUGUGUUACCACCCUAGGUGGGGCCUCAGCCAUCUAGACUUUCUAUGUCUCUUGUACUUCAGUGAGCUACGACACAGAUGGUAGUGUUUGGGGCAUCAUUUAAGAGUAUAGAGGGGGGUAGGAUGCAUAGACCUACAACUCGAGCAUCUCAGGGAGGCGCUAAGAUAGUGCGCUGUCAGGACAAGUUUAGAGGUUGCUUUGUGUGUGAUGAGUUUGGCCAUUUGACCAAGGACUAUCCGCAUCAUUUGUUAAAGCUACUCCUAUUACAACUGUGAGAUGUAGAGAUUCUACCAAAGGUGCAAGAGGUAAAGUUAGGUCUCUUGAGAGUUAACCCCUAAAAUAGUGUUGGAGCUUAAAAGUGAAUCUUGUGGGUGCGUGGAAAGUUAGAUUAACAUCUAUUUCUUGAUCUUAUUGCGGAUUUAAGGUGAGAUUUCAUCCGUUUUAUACUCUAAUUCUUGAUUAAUUGUUCAAAAAUCACAAAAACCUUAUUUGUUGAUUUAAGCUUCAAUUUCACUUCUUUUCACUUGAAUAAUGUUUCUAAGCCUAUAAUUACAUGUUUUUCAUCAAUCUCAUCUUCAAACAACUUCGAUUUUUUAUUUUAACACGUAUU